RNAcentral lists this long non-coding RNA (654 nucleotides) under Mus pahari (shrew mouse). RNAcentral describes it as "lncRNA (MGP_PahariEiJ_G0003116.1)". The record is from RNAcentral. Lineage: Eukaryota; Metazoa; Chordata; Mammalia; Rodentia; Muridae.
ACAGCAAAACCAACAGAAAUCAGAAUGGUCCAUACUUCCUUCAGGGAAGAGGAACAAUGUCCAUAAAAGAUUAAAAAAAUAAUAAAGAAGCAUGACUAUUUCUUCCAGCGUGGGUGACCCACAAGCUCACAUGGUCCUAAGUGCUUAGCAACUUGUAUUUCCUAAUCAAAUGAAGAACUGCUUUGAGUGCGCAAAGCAAUCCGCGGUGAAAAGAUUUUCCCUGAAUUCCUCAGUGGAAAGAAGAGGUGUUGAGAUUUUUCAGAUCUUGAAGGUAUGAAUUCAUUGCUGAAGAUAACACACACCUCUGGGAUUCAGGACUUGGGGGAAGUGAUCUGGAACUGACUGAAGGUCCCUCCCCAUGGAAAAGCUUCCAGAGUAAGGGAGGUCUCUUUUCCUCAUGGAUGCCCAAGCAUGCAUGCUCUCACUGAAUUACUGUUGAGCCACUUCUGGAGCUACUGUAGACAUUCAAGUGAUAUGGAUGACAUCUUUAGGGAAAAGGGAAAGCUGGUAUCUGCAGAAACAUUUGGGCCUUAUGUUGGAGACUUCCUUGGAAAAUGUGCAAGAUGUACAAAGGAUAUAACACUAAAUGCCUUAAGAAAGUUCUUAUUAAGCAAGUUGAUGAUCAUCCAAGAGAACUGCAUUCCCAUUUACUUU